GCCGGGAGUGGUGGCUCACACCUGUAAUCCCAGCACUUUGGGAGGCUGAGGUGGGUGGAUCACCUGAGGUCAGGAGUUCGAGACCAGCCUGGCCAAUAUGGUGAAAUCCCGUCUCUA
RNAcentral lists this non-coding RNA (117 nucleotides) under Gorilla gorilla gorilla (western lowland gorilla). The record is from Rfam by way of RNAcentral. Lineage: Eukaryota; Metazoa; Chordata; Mammalia; Primates; Hominidae.